RNAcentral lists this long non-coding RNA (2261 nucleotides) under Homo sapiens (human). RNAcentral's name for it is "HSALNT0388603". Lineage: Eukaryota; Metazoa; Chordata; Mammalia; Primates; Hominidae. The record is from RNAcentral.
GCCUGAAGGACUUCCGGGAACCGCAAAGCACGGUGUGCCUCCGCUGUCCUGAAGAAAAAGCCGCGCGCGGACGACUGGCCGGCCCGCGCUUGCAGCUCCCAGAAGUUGACAGGCAUCCUCCGGUGACCGGUGUGAGUAUGGCAUCAGGAUGAUUUGACUGCAAGCAACAGAAAAAUCAAACAAAAAUGGCCUAAGCCAAGAAGAGAAAUGAUUAUUUCACAUUCCAAGAAGUUUGGGAGUCGAGUGGUUAAACGGCUAAUUAAUCUAGAGCUCAACAGUAUCACCCAGGACCCAUUUUCACUAUGGUGGCUAAAGCUCUGCACCCUUCAGGCUUGCACCAUGGCAGCAGCAGUGACAGUAAAGACACCCUUACACCACAAUGCUCCAUGACCAGGGAGAGGGUCUCCUCUCUCCUGCCCCUUUCUGGAGGCUCCACCGAAGAUUUCUCUUCACAUUCCGUUUCUCAUUCCUGAAGCAGUUGCUGGCAACAGGGAUGGACUUACCGCAAUGGGUACAGAGCAACUAAGAUUCACCACUAGGUGAGUCCUUUGGAAAACACUUGGCCAUCCAAUAUAUAAACAAAUCUGGUACUCCUGUCAGGAAAGAGUCUCGCUCUGUCACCCAGGCUGGAGUGCAGUGGUACAAUCUCAGCUCACGGCAAACUCGGCCUUCUAGAUUCACGCCAUUCUCCUGCCUCAGCCUCCCAAGUAGCUGGGACUACAGGCACCCACCACCUGGCCUGGCUAAUUUUUUUUGUAUUUUUAGUAGAGACGGGGUUUCACCAUGUUAGCCAGGAUGCUCUCGAUCUCCUGACGUCGUGAUCCGCCAGCCUCGGCCUCCCAAAGUGCUGGGAUUACAGGCGUGAGCCACAGCGCCCGGCCAAUUUCACAAAUAGAUUUUUUUUCUUACUGUAAAUCUUAGCAAGCUCAGCAUACGAAUUUUUUUUUCCUUAAAUUGAAAGCUUUUACCCUUUCACUUAAAGGCAGCACUUUAUGGCUUCUCUUGGGCAUAUCCAAAUUGCUACCAUCACUACUCGUAUUAGUCCAUUUUCACGCUGCUGAUAAAGACAUACCUGAGACUGAGAAAUUUACCAAAUAAAGAGGUGUACUGGACUUACAGUUCCACAUGGCUGGGGAGGCCUCACAAUCAUGGUGGAAGGCAAGAAGGAGCAAGUCAUGUCUUACAUGGAUGGCAGCUGGCAAAGAGAAAGCUUGUACAGGGAGACUCCCGUUUUGAAAACCAUCAGAUCUUGUGAGACUCAUUCACUAUUACAAGAACAGUGCAGGAAAGAUGCACCCCUGUACUUCAAUCACCUCCCAGCAGGUUCCUCCCACGACAUGUGGGAAUUGUGGGAGUUACAAUUCAAGAUGAGAUUUGGUUGGGGACACAGCCAAACCAUAUCACUACUCUUGUGCUUUGGGGCCAUUAUGAAGUAAAACAAGCAUUAUUUGAACACAAGAACUGCAAUACCACCACAGUAGAUCUGAUAACUGUUGGCUACUAAGUGACUAAGGGGCAGGUGAAGUAUACAGCUUGGAUGCGAUGGACAAAGAGGAAGAUCUACCUCCCAGCUGGGAUGGAGCAGGACGAUGCAAGAUUUCAUCACACUACUCAGAAAGGCAUGCAGUUUAAAGCUCGUAAAUUAUUUCAGGAAUUUUCCAUUUAAUAUUUUCAGGCUGUGGCUGACCGUGAGUAACAAACCCAGGAAAGCGAAACUGCAGAACAGUGGAUGGGAGAAAGGGUGAAUUACUGUAUAUUCAUGAGGGAUAUUAGUCCAUAGUUUCUUUUUUCCCUUUUAACAAAUUUUUGGGUUUUGUAUAUAGUUUGUCUGGUUUUGGUAUCAGGGUAAUACUAGCUUCAUAAAAUGAAUUGGAAAGCGUUUCUUCUGUUUUCCUAAAAAGAUUAUAUGGAAUUAGCAUUCAUUCUUUAAACACUUGGUAGAAAUCUUAAGUAAAACCAUCUGAGCUCGGAGAUUUUUUUGUGUGUGUUAUAAAAUUACAUAUUCAGUUUCCUUAAUAUUUAUAAGAUCAUUUUAAUUAUCUGUGUUUUUCAGUGAAACGGGUCAAUUUUCUGUAUGUUGUCAAAUUAAUAUUUGUAGAAUUGUAUUAGUAUUCUUCAUUAUCCUUUUGAUGUCUGCAGAAUCUGUAAUGGUAUCCCUGUUUUAUUUCUGAUAUUAAUUUGUGCCAUUAUGUCUUUUUUUCUUUGUUGAUCUUGUCAGAAGUUUGUCAAUUUUAUCAAUUUGUUCCAAGAACCAGCUCAUU